UGGGGAAUAUUGGACAAUGGGCGAAAGCCUGAUCCAGCCAUGCCGCGUGAAGGAUGAAGUAUUUCGGUAUGUAAACUUCGAAAGAAUAGGAAGAAUAAAUGACGGUACUAUUUAUAAGGUCCGGCUAACUACGUGCCAGCAGCCGCGGUAAUACGUAGGGACCAAGCGUUGUUCGGAUUUACUGGGCGUAAAGGGCGCGUAGGCGGCAUGACAAGUCACUUGUGAAAUCUCUGGGCUUAACCCAGAACGGCCAAGUGAUACUGUCGCGCUAGAGUGCAGAAGGGGCAAUCGGAAUUCUUGGUGUAGCGGUGAAAUGCGUAGAUAUCAAGAGGAACACCUGAGGUGAAGACGGGUUGCUGGGCUGACACUGACGCUGAGGCGCGAAAGCCAGGGGAGCAAA
This 400-nucleotide ribosomal RNA is filed under the name uncultured bacterium. RNAcentral describes it as "bacterial SSU rRNA". It matches the Rfam family "Bacterial small subunit ribosomal RNA", at positions 355 to 772 of the family's 1533-position model. The record is from RNAcentral.